RNAcentral lists this ribosomal RNA (543 nucleotides) under uncultured Glomeromycotina. Its description in RNAcentral is "SSU rRNA". It matches the Rfam family "Eukaryotic small subunit ribosomal RNA", at positions 552 to 1096 of the family's 1831-position model. Lineage: Eukaryota; Fungi; Glomeromycota. The record is from RNAcentral.
AGGGCAAGUCUGGUGCCAGCAGCCGCGGUAAUUCCAGCUCCAAUAGCGUAUAUUAAAGUUGUUGCAGUUAAAAAGCUCGUAGUUGAAUUUCGGGGUUAGUAGGUUGGUCAUGCCUCAGGUAUGUACUGAUCUCACUGAUUCCUCCUUCCUGAUGAACCGUAAUGCCAUUAAUUUGGUGUUGCGGGGAAACUGGACUGUUACUUUGAAAAAAUUAGAGUGUUUAAAGCAGGCUAACGCUUGAAUACAUUAGCAUGGAAUAAUGAAAUAGGACGUUCGAUCCUAUUUUGUUGGUUUCUAGGAUUGACGUAAUGAUUAAUAGGGAUAGUUGGGGGCAUUAGUAUUCAAUUGUCAGAGGUGAAAUUCUUGGAUUUAUUGAAGACUAACUACUGCGAAAGCAUUUGCCAAGGAUGUUUUCAUUAAUCAAGAACGAAAGUUAGGGGAUCGAAGACGAUCAGAUACCGUCGUAGUCUUAACCAUAAACUAUGCCGACUAGGGAUCGGAUGUUGUUAAUUUUUUAAUGACUCAUUCGGCGCCUUACGGGAA